GUCCUGGGACACCUUUGCCACUCCGAGACUCCAAAGGGCAGCCAGUGUACACAAUAGAGCAUUCCUUGGACUAACCUGGAAAUCUUCCACGUGGCUCACUGAGCUCUCAAGCCUCAGGGGGCAGGCGGAGUCCUGGGCAGCUGCAGCCAUCUCAACCUGGCUUUUGGGUUCUAGAAGCUGUGCCGGGUGCAGGGCUAGUCUGGAGGUGGAGGGAGGAAGUGCCCAGGAGGGCGAUGACAUCACCGCCCAGCCCUUGAAAGAUGAGCUGUUUCCCCAGCGACUCCAGCUUGCUCCAGCGCCCGGGAGGGGUGGGGACAUCGGGCUGCCCGAACGGACUGAGGGAAGGACUGAGGUGCCCGUGUGGCUCACUCCGAACAAGCCCAGGCAGGGCCUCACUCACGUCCAACUCUGAGUUCAAAUGUUCUCUGCCUGGAAGAGACCAAUGUUCCUGUCUGUUCAUGAGGACCCUGUACCCACCACAGCCUCUUUCAGCGUGGAUAUGCUUAACAUCACCUCUCAUGGCCUUGCAUCUGCUCUCAACGGGACCCUUUCCCAGGGCAACUGCCUCCACUCUGACUGGUGGAGCUGGCUCAACGCCAUCCAGGCCCCCUUCCUCUGGGUGCUGUUCGUACUGGCGGUGCUAGAGAAUGUCUUUGUGCUCAGCGUCUUCUGCCUGCACAAGAGCAGCUGCACGGUGGCAGAGAUCUACCUGGGCAACCUGGCCGCGGCAGACCUGAUCUUGGCCUGCGGGCUGCCCUUCUGGGCCGUCACCAUUGCGAACAAUUUCGACUGGCUCUUCGGGGAGAUCCUCUGCCGUGUAGUGAACACCAUGGUCUACAUGAAUCUCUACAGCAGCAUCUGUUUCCUGAUGCUGGUGAGCAUCGACCGCUACCUGGCUCUGGUGAAAACCAUGUCCAUGGGCCGCAUGCGCAGGGUGCGCUGGGCCAAACUCUACAGCCUGGUGAUCUGGGGGUGCACGCUGCUCCUGAGCUCUCCCAUGCUGGCCUUCCGGACCAUGAAGGAGUAUGGAGCCGAGGGCCACAACGUCACGGCCUGCAUCAUCGUCUACCCGUCCUGCUCCUGGGAGGUGUUCACCAACGUCCUCCUGAACUCUGUGGGCUUCCUCCUGCCCCUGAGCAUCAUCACCUUCUGCACGGUGCAGAUCAUGCAGGUCCUGCGGAACAAUGAGAUGCAGAAGUUCAAGGAGAUCCAGACAGAGAGGAAGGCCACGGUGCUGGUCCUGGCUGUGCUGCUGCUGUUCAUCAUCUGCUGGCUGCCCUUCCAGAUCAGCACCUUCCUGGACACGCUGCUGCGCCUCAAGAUCCUCUCCAGCUGCUGGGACGAGCACAUCACCGACAUCCUGACACAGAUCGCCUCUUACAUAGCCUAUAGCAACAGCUGCCUCAACCCCCUGGUGUACGUGAUCGUGGGCAAGCACUUCCGCAAGAAGGCAUGGGAGGUAUACCAGAGACUAUGCCAGAAGGGGGGCUGCGUGUCAGAGUCCAGCCAGAUGGAGAACUCCAUGGGCACCCUGCGGACCUCUAUCUCGGUGGAGCGCCAGAUCCACAAAUUGCCAGAGUGGGUGGGGAGCAGCCAGUGAGUGGAUGCCAGUGGCGCUUCUGUUCUCGUGUGUGGACCGAUGGACAGUUGCUCUUCAAGAUGCCCCCAAGAAGGAACGGAAGGCAUCCAAUGUGUGAGCUGGGGCCGUGAGCCGGUGUCUUCAGUAAAACACAGGAGUGUGAUUCCUGGCCUGCCCAGGGCGCAGCAAGCAAGGUCUUGGGGACGGAGCGACCUUGUGCACUGCCACGGACUCCAUAAAUACAAUAGUAUUAUGGUCCCUCUUUGCUGCCACCCCUGGCCCAGUCUGCCCCUUCCCAGGCGUGGAGGGAACCUGGGGACAGGGACAGGAAUAACGGAGCUUCCUGCCCAUGUGGUGUUCCACUCUGACCCUUCGCGACAGCUCAGAUCCCCCAGAGAAACUGCCAGCCAGCUGUGGUGCGGUGGCUGAGUGCACCCACGGGGGCUGCCUUACCUCCCUGAGAUCCACUCGGCUAGGGCUCUGGAGAAUGAUUCAGGUUAAUGAAGGCUCAACUCAUCCCUAAACCACGGGAUCCGGGUAAGAACCCGGAAACUAGGAUUCUGUUGCUCACCUCACCCUUGAAUGAGCUGCUCCAUGCUAAAGAAGACCAAAGUAAGCACCAGCCUACCUAUGCAGCAAUUUCUGUAUGCGCAGCAUCGAGCCCUGCGGGCCAGAGGAAAGAAGAAAAUGCAGGCUCUGUUUUGAAAGAACUUGCAAACUCAAGGGGUGACCGAGCUCUUGCAGCCUCUGCAGGCUGCUCUAUGCUGUGGUCAAGCAAGGCGCUCUGGACGGUACAGAAGAGGGGGUGAGGAGCCUGGUGCCCCGGUCCAGCUGAGAACUAGUUGCAUAUCACCUUGUCCCUGCCUCAGUUUCCUCCUCUGUGACACGACAUUGUUGUAACACGUAAAGGAAGUAACAGGAAGAGAAGUUCUUUGAAAAAUGAAAGGUGCUAUGUAAAUCUGAGGCAUUAUUAUGCACACAGAAUGGGAAUAAAUUUAUUAUAAAGAAAAAGACAUUGGUGUAGCAACGGCUCUGUAGAGGAGUGUCAGAACUGUAGCUGAUGGUGUGCAAAGUGCCUAUUAGUGCGCCCACAGUAACAUCAGCUCCUUCUACCUUUCCUUCCCACCACUGUCCCGCCAACACAUGCACACACAGAAGCUUUGGGGGAAAGGCCACCCCUUCAAUGUCUGAUGUGUGAUGGGCCAGAGAGAUUUCUGAUUAGACUUGCCUGGGAAUCACACGCUCAGACCCUCACCGCAGGUGGAGGGCAGACAGCUGUCAGGAGUCCAGGCCCGCCUGUGAUGGACCUCAUGUCAGCAACCAAGCGCAUCAACCAAUGGUUUAUUUAAGGCCCAACAGGGACCACCCAAGGGCAGCUGACCACUGAUGUGUCACGGAGGUCAUUUACCCCAAAGCUUUGCUCUAGGACCAAGUUCCCCUACUCGGAAGGCUGAGUGCCUGGCAGGUGCCCCUGGCCAACACGACCUGAUUUCACAGCUGGGCAGCCUGAGCCCAGGCACAUGCCAUCUUGAAGCAGCUCUGGGAACAAGGCCCCUCGUGAUAAACAGACCCAGACUGAAGAGAAACAGGAGAAUGCCGGCCUCACAUUUGCUCAUAGAACCAGCAGCAGAGGGAUCGUCGCUCAGCACCGGAUGGGAGGGACAGGGAGGUGGGCGGGGCGGUGGGCAGCCCCAGGGGCCAGGCAAGAGGUGGCUGGACCAGCAUCCUUGGCCCCAAACCCCAGGUACCCCAGGGGAAUUCAUUUCUUCUUUUUCUACCCGUCUUAUAGUCUGCUUCUUGCUGCCAGCACCAUGCCAAGUCCAUGGGGUGGUUGGAUGAAGCACCACCCAGCCGCUCAGAGCCUAGGCAGGGAGGGGCCCUCAGCGGCAGCCCCCCAACAGCUCGCUCACUCACUAAAUAAGUGAGUACUUGGUAGCCAGCUCUCUGAGGAGGAGAGAACCUGGGACCCAGGAGGGUUUGGAUGGCAGAGAGUGCGUAAAUCCUGACCCAUUCAGCUCUGGAUCUUAAAACAAAAAGGGUCAAAAAAGAUCCCCUCCCCAUCCCAGCCUUUUGUUGCCUGCCAUUCACACCCCUUUACCCCACUAAACACACACCCUUGUGGCUGGAGAAAGAAAACAGAUGAAUAAGGAAUGAACCCCUUCCUAUUAGAAUGAAGUCAAGCCAUGCACAUCCUGUCAGUGGACCACAAAGAGGGCCAAGCUGUGUAGUGCCUGACAUUCAUCCAUCAGCAGGUGUGCACAGGUAGAAGGUCUCCUGGGGGCAGAACCCAUCAUCAUCACAGCCCCGGGUCCCUUGUGAUCACUCGAGGGCCCAGACGCGGUCUGAAUCGGUCUGCGGGAAGGGGGCUGCCCUGUGGGUUGUGUUGACACCAUGAUAAAGAACAUCUCUCCUACGAAGGCCCUAAAGGGGUGCUACGUUGUGAAGAGGGAGCAUUUCGCAAACAAUGAGGAAUGGAUGAGCUGCUUCAAGAUGUGUCAUUUCUGUACAGGGUACGAGAUGGAUGAGGAGUUAUUGCACAGCUCUUUAACCCGUUACAACUCCCCAGACCCUGAGUUUUGUCCCCUUCCAUUUAUCUCUGUUCAAACUCCCUAGGGAUUCUGUCCCACAGAUAAGGGGUGUCCAAGCUUUUGUGAUUGUAUAUCCCUGUAAGUAAAAGGAUUUUGAUUACCCAUACCCAAUAUGUAUCCUUAUUAACAUGUAUUAAAAUGUACACUCCCAAAUAUAGUCAAGUAGAAACUCAAGAAAAUUUAACAGCAUUUGAAGAAUUUCUCGCAUCCUACAUUCCCACACUAGUAACUCACUACCAGGCUCCCAGGCCCCAUGAGGCCCUAGUAUCAGAGAUGGCAGUGAUUCAAUCAUUCAUGCAUGCAGUAUAUCUAUUUAUUGAGUGCCUUCCAUUUAGCCUCCCCUUCAAAUCAGGAGUGUCUUCUACAAUGUCUAGAUUAAACAGUUGUCUAGCCCCUGCUUGCAUACUCACUGACAUGGGGAACCCAUUACCCACUCUAUUUUGGGACCGCUUCAUCAUUCAUUUAUUCAUUCAUUCACUCACUCAUUAAGCAAAACUUGCAUUCUGUGUCUGCAAAGAGUGGCACUGCUCCCUGUACACCUCCAUCCACUUAUGCCGGAAAGCUGGGCUCGUUGUUAUUGCACACUUCCCUUCAUCUCUUCUGCCCAAUGUAUCAGCACCCCUUUUUAGAUUCCACCUAAGUGUUCCCCGGAUCUAUCUGCUUCUUUCUCUUUCCAGCCAUCAUCUUCUAUUGGUCUCCCCAUCUGUGUUGCUAACUGCCACCGUCCCCCAAUUCUUAUUCUCAGCUCAGCAGCCAAUAAUGUGCUUUAAGAAUGCAAAUGCAGUCACAGGGAGUGCAAGGAGCAGUGUUUAGGGGCCAAGGCCUUGGAACCAGGCAGACGUGGAUGCCGGCUCUGGUUCUAACUGGUUAUUAGCUGAGCAGUCUUGGACAUAUCACUUAUCCUUUCCGAGUCUACAUUUCCUCACCAGUAAAAUGGGAAUAAUAAUGGAUCUGCCUCGUAGAACUAUUAACAGGGUUAAUGUGUGAGUGUUCAGCACCAUGCCUGGUACAGAGCUGGCACUCAAGAUGUGUGAGCUGCCACGAUGCUGAUGGCGAUGGUGACGGCGGCCCUCCGUGAGCUGGUCUCGGCCUUGUCUUUCUCCCUUUCUCUCCCUCCUGGCUCAUCUCUGCCCUCUAGCCGUAUUGGAUGCAUGCGCUUGGGCAGAGUCCAGCACGUAUUCCACUCCCCCUCCAGUGCCCACAUUUCCCACACAGCCUGCAUCCCUCACCCACAGCUCUGAGCUUAGAGAAAGUUGCCCACAAGUGCCCAAGGGACUUUACUCACAGCUGUGAGCACGACUCAAGGAAGUCUGUGAUUCAGAGGAAAGCCACUGGCUGGAAACUCAAGCAGGGCUCUCAAGGGACAGACGGUCUGGGAGAACAUUCCUCCCUUCUCCCUGCACCCCGGCCAGGCAGCAUGAGCGGCCCCUCUGCUCCUGACUCUCCCUGCCCCCAGCAAGCUGGUGUGAUGGGGAGAAGCCCAGGCAGGCCUCUGGCGGACUCACAACCGAGCAAGGGGUCCCACUCCUGAGUCUGCCCUGGUCAGAGCAGCCAAGGGCCUUGGUGCGGAGGCGCAAAAUGAAUGCCCAGUGGCCCAGCGGGAGCCAAUGGGAAACUGCUAGAGAUGAUGACUGCUGUCAAUCUGCAAAGCCACUUGAGUGGUCGUUUUGAUUCAGAAGGUGGAGCCUUGACUUGCAGACCCCAGCAGUGUGCUCCACCAUCAACUUGUGACCCAGCCCCCAGUGUGACCCCCAGGCCAAAUUGAAGAGCCUCUCACAGCUCUGACCUCUGGCCAAGCUCCAGGAGGAUGUGGGGGUCAAGGGUAAUCGAGGAGGUCACAGUUUGACAAUAGCAAUGACUGAAAGUUUAACGCUUGGUGUGUGGAAUUUUUUGGCUGAAGUCAAAGGAGCCCCAUGGAGAUGUCUCACUCUGCUGAGCUCCUUUUAGGCUGGAGACCUUUACGAGCACUCAGGUGGGCAGAAGCUCAUGUCAUCACCAAUUCAUGAUGAGGAAACUGAGGCCCAGAGAGGGAUACAACUUGCUAAGGCCAUGCAGGUUUUCUGGGGGCGUUCUGGAAGCCCACCUGCCCUCGGUUGCUGUGCCUUAACAGAGGGGUGCAAAUUCAGUCACAGACAGAGCCCCCAAGGGGCCUUCCUGCAUGAAGAGCUUCUGAGCCAGCCUGUGGACUAUUUCUGCCCCAAUCAACAGAUUGGCAUCUCCUGGGCCCUGUGAGCACUAGCUUCCUGCAGAAUCCCCUCCCCAGCAGCCUGUGGCUAACACCCUACACUGAGAUUUGUUUUUAAUAACAGCUUUUUUGAGAUAUAAUUCCCAUGCCACACACCCCCACAGCUUUAGUAUACUUAGAGAGUUGCACAGCCGGCACUGCUCUCUAAUUCCAGAACGCAUUCGUCACCCCAAAAAGAAAUCCCAAGUCCCAUUCCAUUAGAGUCAUUUUCCAUCCCUCCCUCCCCGCAGCCUCUGGUAACCACUAAUCUUCAUUGUGUCUGUGGGAUGGCCUGUCCCAGACAAUUCAUGUAGAUGGAAUCAGACAGUACGUGCCUUUGUGUCCAGCUUCUUUCAUCUCGCUUAUACUGAGAUACAACAAUUAAUUGUAGGGGAGGAAUUUGGGAAGCUAGGCCUUGAGUCGCUACCGUGCCACUUACCGUCAGAUUGUGGCAAACCCCUCUCCUCCUUCCCCACUCCUCUGCUGGCCUUUGGCCUCAGUUUCCUCAACUGUAAAAUGGGCAGGUAACACAUUACGUGUGCCUGUCCCCCAGAGCUUGUGACUCUGGAAAGGAGGCUUUGUAUCCAGCUCAGCGCCAACAUGACAGGGGCGCUGCCCUGGGGCUUGGAGCCAGGUUCCUGGGUCACAUCCAGCUCUGCCACGUCCUGCCUGUGGGAAUUUGAACAACGUCAGUUAACUUGUCUGAGUUUCCAUUUGUUCGCUUAAUAAAUGAAGAUCCAGUUGUUAUGAAGAGUAAGUGAGAUGAAGGUGGGCCUCAUGGGUUGAAAAGUGUUCUUUUCCCCUGAAAAUUCAUAUCCACAUGGAACCUCUGAAGAGAAGGGAGUCUUUGCAGAAGUAGUUAAGAUGCGGCCAUGCUGACCUGAGGUGAGCCCUAAAUCCAGUCACUGGGGAGGAGGGCCUAGAAGAAGAGAAGGGAUACGGAGACCAGGGAAAAGGCCCCAAGAAGCUGGAGACAGAUUGGGCAUGGUGCUUUUAUAAGCAGGAGUGCCAGGGGCUGCCCAGAACUACCCGGAGCCAGCACAGAGCAGGGGGUGGGGGCUCCCUCAGAGCCUCUAGGAGGAGCCGGCCCCGCCACACCUUGACCAUGGACCUUGGGCCUCCUGAACUGAGAGGAUGCAUUCCUGUUGUUUAGAGCCCCCUGUUCUGUGGCACUUUUAUGUGGCAGCCCUAAGAGACCACUGCAGGCAUUGUCAUAGUUGUAAGUGCUUGCUUACCCUUUGAGAUUACCCGUCAUGGUCCACACAGACCUCCUUCCCAGCAGCCGAAGGGCUCCUGAGGGUUAGAGACACUGGUUGGUUAUAGAAGCCUGCCCUGAUGGGAGGUUGUUUAUAGAUGACCCUGAAAGAUGGCCCAAGAUGGGGUUCUGACGCUCCUCCGGACGCCCUCUCCACAGUGAGUCACUCUUCCAGGCCCAUUCAGCAGGCCAGCGAUGUAUGCCUGUUUCUUCUCUGCAGUCUGGCCGAGCCGGGGUACAGCUUAUGUAACCCCUCCUUGUGCAAUCGCAAAGUGGUCCGAGCAGACAGCUGCUGUUGGCUGCUGACCAAGGGCCAGGUAUGUCACCACACCAUCUCACAUGAUCCCCAAACUCUGAGAAGAGGCCAGCUGCACAGAUAAUGAAACCGUGGCUCCAGAAGGUGGUAUAGGAAAUGGUCCAAGUUCACCCAGCUCAACAGUGACGCAGCUAGGAUUUAUUUAUUUGUUUGUUUGUUUUUGUUUGUUUAGGAGAGCAAGGCAGAGGCUUUUAUUUAGAGAGAGAGAUUGAGGACAGAGCUCCUGGCUCAAGCCAGGAGGGGACAAGAGAGUCCCUGAUGCAGCUAGGAUUUAAACCCUGGAGAAGUGACUGCAGCCCAGACCUGCCCACCUGUCUUCCAGAUCAGAGCUUAAGGACCAGGGUCUUACUUUGGAAUCAGAGUUUUUUACAAAAUACCUGUCUGCCUGGAGGCAGACAGAGCCUUGACAUCUUAGCCAAAUGGCUUUUCAGGAUAGUCUGACCCUUGCCCUCGUGCCCCAUGGGAAAGAGCAGACAUCCCAUUCUGAGAACUGGAGGCUCCCAGCAGCAUCUCCACCCCAUUAGCCACUAAAUUUUUUCUCUUCAGCUCAGUCCUGACACCAUAUUCUACAGGGCUAAUUUUCCAAAUUUAAAGCUAUGUUGGUGCCAUCAUUUACUUCUGCAAAGUUUCCUAAAGUCUCUUACAAAAAAAAAAACCUGGCUCCUGAUCGGUCAAGUAAGUCUGACAAAUACCCCUACCACAUCUUCCUCAUGAGGCUCCACAAAGCAUAGAUGCACACUAAAGGCCCUGAGAAGUCCUGCAGGACAGAGGCCUGCUCCCCCCGGCUUGGUCUAACUGAGGCCUCCACAGACUCCAUCUGCACAGAACCUGGUUUUCCCUGGCUGCUCUUCCUGUUCUCUUUGUCCAGCACCUCCUUCUCUAUGUGAAGUUUAAAUGUUGGAGCACCUCAGUCUUCAGUCUUAAGUUUUCUUCUCAGCUCUCUACAUGGUCCCCUUAACUAAUCCCAGGCAGGAUCACGGCUCUAAACACCAUGUGUGAUGGUGAGUUUAUGUGUCAGUUUGGCUGGGCUCCCGCACCCAGUUAUUGGUGAAACCCAAAUCUAGGUAGUGCUGGGAAGGUCUUUGGUAGAUGAAGCGAGCCCUCACUGUAGGCUGACUGUAAGUAAAGGAGAGUGCCCUGGAUAAUGUGGGUGGGCCUCACACAGUCAUUGGAAGGUCCAAAGAGCAAAAACAGGUUUCCUGGAGAAGAAGGAGCAAUUCCGUCUCAAGUCUGCAGCACUGACCCUCAGCCUGAGGUUCCAACCUGCUGGCCUGCUUUCCCGAUUUUGGACUUGUUAGCCCCCCCACAGU
RNA transcript from Manis pentadactyla (Chinese pangolin), 9272 nucleotides. It is a transcript of the gene named B1 bradykinin receptor-like, with no coding region annotated. The transcript is spliced from 4 exons. Lineage: Eukaryota; Metazoa; Chordata; Mammalia; Pholidota; Manidae. The record is from RefSeq and is a predicted model, not a curated record.